Molecule: long non-coding RNA, 906 nt
Organism: Gadus morhua (Atlantic cod)
Lineage: Eukaryota; Metazoa; Chordata; Actinopteri; Gadiformes; Gadidae
Exons: 2
Source: RefSeq, a predicted model, not a curated record
AGAAGGUAAAGGUUCCAAAGACAGGAAAUUUAAGAACCUAAAAACCAUGAUGAAAUACUGCCGAACACAGCGGGUUUGCAGAAAAAUACAACUGCUUACCUACUUUGGUGGGGUCAACAUUGAAGAAAACGUAUGCCAGCCAAACUCAGAAGCCAUCUGUGACAACUGCGUAUGAGACAAUGCAGCUGCUGCUGCUACCGUCUGAAAUCCAGGCUUCAGUACCAUCCCUACACCCCAGACCAACCAACAACCCUUCUUCAAACCAGCUCAAUAGGAUUCAUCCAAUCAAGUGAAGUUUAAAAUGUACUUUGUCCCAAAUAGAUCAUAGCGCCAAGACACAAUGUUCCAGCCUUUUAGUCACAUACGACACUAUAGCGGGACAUUGAAUCUUUGAUAGAAAUACAUUUAAUAGUCUAAUCGCCAUGUCGGGAAAAUAUUGCGUCACACCUUGACAUUCUAUUGGGAAUGUCUGGAUGCAAGUAUAGUGAUACCACAGCAUUUCUUAGCUUCUAGAAGGUAAAGCCUUUAAGUUCUUGAAUUAUUUUGUGGGGGGGUGGCCUGACUUUCUUCUGUUUGCAAUUUGCUGUGUUAUGUUUUGAUUUUAAUAAUUGUCUUUGUGAUUGUUUGAUAACCCCUUUGAGGAAUGGCAUGGCAAUGGCACUAUCAAUUCCUUUUCUUUUUCCAAGUAGAGCACAUUUUAGACCAUUACUCUAGAAGGAUAAUCAAAACAACCUUCUUAAAUAGUAUGGGAGAAAUUUACCCCAGGUAUAAUAUUGUAAUCAUUAUCUUGCCUUUAUCUUGAUUCACAGAGAGGCUAACUGCCUUACAUCUGAUAUAACUAAUGUUUGAGAUGUCAAUUAUUUACUUAACUGAUUCCAAGUGAUAAUAAAGUCUUUAUCUCUCAAA